This 274-nucleotide ribosomal RNA is filed under the name uncultured bacterium. RNAcentral describes it as "partial 16S ribosomal RNA". It matches the Rfam family "Bacterial small subunit ribosomal RNA", at positions 523 to 796 of the family's 1533-position model. The record is from RNAcentral.
AUACGGAGGUGGCGAGCGUUACUCGGAUUUACUGGGCGUAAAGCGCGCGUAGGCGGUCUGUUUAGUCAGGCGUGAAAUCCCUGGGCUCAACCCAGGAACUGCGUUUGAAACUGGCGGACUAGAGUUCGGGAGAGGAGAGUGGAAUUCCCAGUGUAGAGGUGAAAUGCGUAGAUAUUGGGAGGAACACCAGUGGCGAAGGCGGUUACCUGGACGGGUCCUGACGCUGAGGCGCGAAAGCGUGGGGAGCAAACAGGAGUAGAAACCCCGGUAGUCC